This is a long non-coding RNA of Triplophysa rosa, 3130 nucleotides long. RefSeq lists it as uncharacterized. NCBI's taxonomy places the organism in Eukaryota, Metazoa, Chordata, Actinopteri, Cypriniformes, Nemacheilidae. The transcript has 3 exons. The record is from RefSeq and is a predicted model, not a curated record.
UACACUGUAAAAAAAGAUUGUAUUUUAACAGGAAAAAACCUUAAUAUUUUACUGUAAUUUUUUCUUUUUUUUAAAUUGUAUACAAAUUUCAUUAAAAUUACAGACAAUUAUCUGUUAAUUAAUAACCCACAUAUUAUUUUACGUGUUAAGACAAUAAUGACAAAUUACAUGUUUUUCUUGUUUUUGUAGAGAAAAAAUACUGUAAUAUUUAUACAGUAUUUUUACUGCUUUCUUAAGUAACAUACAAAUUUAUGUAAAAUUAUGAUAAUUUUCUGUAAUUAAAUUUGUUGCUCAUUAUAUAAAGGUUUAUUUCUGUACAAAUAAUUUAACGGUUUUCUUCCAUAUUUUUAAGUCAGAUCUUAGUUUUUUUAUUAGUGUAUAUGCAUAUUUUUACGUUAAAUUUUUUAGCAAACUGUUUAGUUAGGCUACAGUACAUUUAAACAAUACACAGUCAAAAUUACAAAGCUGCACUACUCUUGAGGUUGGAACUUUCAUGUUUCCUGAAAGUGAUAUGACAGCCCCGUUGAAAAAAACAGCAUAUGCUGGUUAGGUAUGUUUUGAAGCAUGGUAGCUGGUUUAAGCUGAGAACCAGCCGGUUGCAUAAAGCACCUUAAGUGUAAUUUUGCCUUAAGUGUGUCCUUAAGUAUACCUUAAGUUUUACUAAAGUUAUUCUCCUAUUGUCUUCGGUAAAGGGAAAUCACCUCUAAAGUGUCAUACUUAAGGGAAAAAAUUAAGCUGCUUUAUGCAACCGGGCCCCGCACAUGACCAGCUCAAACCAGCUACCAUGCUUCAAAACAUACCUAACUACAGUAGCAUAAGGCUGUUUUUUUCAACAGGGAGAGAAAGCACAUGGCAGUAAACAUGACAAAAGUUGCAAUAGUCUAGCCAACAAAAACAUGAUUAAUGAUAAUCAUUAAUAAAUUCAUUUUUUCUCAUAUCAUGAAUGGCUAUGGCCUAACCACUACAGUCCAUACAUUAAACCUGGUUAGCUCAGAGAGAAAAACCUUAAAGACAGGAGAAUGGACUGAUUUAAAACUGCAGUUAAAGAAACAUAUGAAAACAAACGUAAUCAGUAUAGAACUUUGGAGAAUGUGGCCAGAGGCUUAACAGAUUUGUUCAAAUUCAAGAGGAUCAUUCUAGGACAAUACAUCGAGCUGUAAGUUACCAUAAUGUUAAUACAUUUAGUAAUGAUCUUUUCAUAUAGGCCUGCAGUAUGUCAUAAGCAUCUUGUUUGCUCUUUUGCUAUUUUGUAAAAGUAGUGGCUGCAUUUUUGUUGAUUGUCGUCAGCCCUAAUUUUGUUUCAUGUAAUGGCACUGAAACAUUUUAUAUUUGUGUGCCUGUUUUUUAGAAACCACUUCCAAGCACCAAACGUGUGUAUUCAUUAAACUUGUACCAUACAUUAGUUAAUUUUAUUCAUAUACUGCAAUGAAAACAUCUGACCAAUUAAAUAUAUAGCAACAUUCAAAUAAAACUAAACACGUUUAUUUUCUUUUAAAAACAACCUAUCUUAACUAUAGCUGUUGUUACUACACUUGCUAUUGGUAAACAGAUGUCAUUGGUUGACUCCCCGUGCUGCUUUGAGCACGAUUGGGUAAACUUACUGUCAUUCAGGAAACUAGCCAAUUAGAGCUGUUCGCGCCCUUCACUGGUUCAUUUUGAACAUACGCGAGGAAUUGAUGUCUGUCAGUUAGUUUCAGUAGUAUUGAUGGUCCAGUUAUAUGUAAACAGCGCUGAAGACACGAAGUCGUGUGGAAGUUGCAGGCUGCUGGAGAAUAAUCACACGCAUUAACAGCUUUACCAGCAGAAGUACACAGAAAUAUAUGAUAAGAUUUGCCUGGGCAGUACACACACCUGAUGAAGGGAAGAAAAGCUACCCAGGCACCCAAACUCCAUCGGUAGUAAGUGUUUAAACAUUCGACCUGAGUAUUUGUAUUAUGUUGUUAUUAACAAUUGUGUAAUAUUAUGUAUGCUUAAUACUGUUAUAAUGUAACUCUGUAACCGUUUGGGUUACGUAUUUCUUGGGUUAAAACAUAACAAAAUAAGGGACUUUUUAUUUUCUAACUCUUACAAUAACAAUCACGUACAGUUAAACAUUUACAUCAUUUGUGAAAGAAAAAUUGUCCAUUCCUUUAAACUGGUGACUUGUUUUGCUGAUUUAAUGAUGGAAGUUAUAAGACUUACAUUUAAGUUAGCAUUGUAACUUGUUUUCUAACAGUAUACUCUGUAUUCACAUUGCCGUAAUGUAUAAUGAUGGCAGAUUCAGUCCUUUAUCUAACGUUACUACAUUGCAUAUUUGCCACAGACUCAUUUACUUUUUUGUGGUAUGUUUUUACUUAUGGUAUGAUUUACUUAUUCUGACAGUUUGAUGUUUGUCCAAAUAUACUAUCAAAACUUCCUCCGAUACCUUUUUGUGACCCUGUGUAAAUGUUUUCAACACCACUUGAAACUGUUGUAUUUCUCCAGGAUUAAAAGUUUGUUUUAUAAGAAUUUGAUGAAUGUAUUGUAUGGGGAUGUACUUUUUAUUUAUUUAUUAUAUUCAACCAUUUGUUUAAAGCAUAUACUGUAAUUCUGUACUGUAAAGAAGUCAAUCAUUGUGUAUUUCGAGUGUACAUUUACAAAUUAUGGUGAUUGUGUUCAUAUGAUUAAUAUGUUUACCUAAAUAAAAUGUUAUUCUACAAUGCUAAACAUGUGUUUUUCAUUUUAUUGACAGUAUCUGACUAGUAAUUCAUGGCCAAUAUCUGUAAAGUUACAGAGCAUUUACUGUAUUAAAAGUAUUUGACUGAAAAAAUUCAGGAAAGAAACUGUAAAAUAACAGUGUUUUUCUGCAGAACAUUAGUACUUUCACAUAGUUUAAAGAGGUUUAUCAUUAUAAUUCAGAAAAAAAAGCAUAAAAUAACAGUAUUUUUCUGUAAAACCUUAUGUGCAGUCACUUUAUUGAAGGUGUUUGAUCGUAAUAAUUAAGGAAAAGUCUGUGAAAUAACUGUGUUUCCCUGUAAAACAUUUAAAGAAAAAUUACGUAAAUGUAAUGUUUUUCUCCAUUAUUUGAUUUACGGAGUUUCAUCUUAAUUUUAUGGUUUUUGUUUGGCAGCCGCUGCUGCCAGUGAUUUGACCGUUUUUUUACGAUAUUUUU